AACGAACGCUGGCGGCAUGCCUAACACAUGCCAGUCGAACGAGAUCCUUCGGGGUCUAGUGGCGCACGGGUGCGUAACGCGUGGGAAUCUGCCCUUAGGUUCGGAAUAACAGUUAGAAAUGACUGCUAAUACCGGAUGAUGACGUUAAGUCCAAAGAUUUAUCGCCUGAGGAUGAGCCCGCGUAGGAUUAGCUAGUUGGUGUGGUAAAGGCGCACCAAGGCGACGAUCCUUAGCUGGUCUGAGAGGAUGAUCAGCCACACUGGGACUGAGACACGGCCCAGACUCCUACGGGAGGCAGCAGUGGGGAAUAUUGGACAAUGGGCGCAAGCCUGAUCCAGCAAUGCCGCGUGAGUGAUGAAGGCCUUAGGGUUGUAAAGCUCUUUUACCCGGGAUGAUAAUGACAGUACCGGGAGAAUAAGCCCCGGCUAACUCCGU
Molecule: ribosomal RNA, 435 nt
Filed under: uncultured bacterium
Lineage: Bacteria
Description: partial 16S ribosomal RNA
Rfam family: Bacterial small subunit ribosomal RNA
Source: RNAcentral